This 215-nucleotide ribosomal RNA is filed under the name Clostridioides difficile. RNAcentral's name for it is "partial 16S ribosomal RNA". It matches the Rfam family "Bacterial small subunit ribosomal RNA", at positions 1 to 229 of the family's 1533-position model. Lineage: Bacteria; Bacillati; Bacillota; Clostridia; Peptostreptococcales; Peptostreptococcaceae. The record is from RNAcentral.
UUGAGAGUUUGAUCCUGGCUCAGGAUGAACGCUGGCGGCGUGCCUAACACAUGCAAGUUGAGCGAUUUACUUCGGUAAAGAGCGGCGGACGGGUGAGUAACGCGUGGGGAACCUACCCUGUACACACGGAUAACAUACCGAAAGGGAUGCUAAUACGGGAUAAUAUAUUUGAGAGGCAUCUCUUGAAUAUCAAAGGUGAGCCAGUACAGGAUGGA